CCCUACGGGGCGCAGCAGUGAGGAAUAUUGGUCAAUGGCCGAGAGGCUGAACCAGCCAAGUCGCGUGAGGGAUGACGGCCCUACGGGUUGUAAACCUCUUUUGUCGGGGAGCAAGACCCGCCUCGUGCAGGCGGAGCGAGAGUACCCGAAGAAAAAGCAUCGGCUAACUCCGUGCCAGCAGCCGCGGUAAUACGGAGGAUGCGAGCGUUAUCCGGAUUCAUUGGGUUUAAAGGGUGCGCAGGCGGGCCUUUAAGCCGGCGGUGAAAUCGCGGGGCUCAACCCCGCCGAGCCGUCGGAACUGGGGG
This 305-nucleotide ribosomal RNA is filed under the name uncultured bacterium. RNAcentral describes it as "bacterial SSU rRNA". It matches the Rfam family "Bacterial small subunit ribosomal RNA", at positions 337 to 639 of the family's 1533-position model. The record is from RNAcentral.